Molecule: transfer RNA, 18 nt
Filed under: Muntiacus reevesi (Reeves' muntjac)
Lineage: Eukaryota; Metazoa; Chordata; Mammalia; Artiodactyla; Cervidae
Description: partial transfer RNA
Source: RNAcentral
GUUAAGGUGGCAGAGCCG